RNAcentral lists this ribosomal RNA (496 nucleotides) under uncultured bacterium. RNAcentral's name for it is "partial 16S ribosomal RNA". It matches the Rfam family "Bacterial small subunit ribosomal RNA", at positions 28 to 506 of the family's 1533-position model. The record is from RNAcentral.
GAUGAACGCUGGCGGCGUGCCUAAUACAUGCCAGUCGAGCGAACAGACGAGGAGCUUGCUCCUCUGACGUUAGCGGCGGACGGGUGAGUAACACGUGGAUAACCUACCUAUAAGACUGGGAUAACUUCGGGAAACCGGAGCUAAUACCGGAUAAUAUAUUGAACCGCAUGGUUCAAUAGUGAAAGACGGUUUUGCUGUCACUUAUAGAUGGAUCCGCGCCGCAUUAGCUAGUUGGUAAGGUAACGGCUUACCAAGGCAACGAUGCGUAGCCGACCUGAGAGGGUGAUCGGCCACACUGGACCUGAGCCACGGCCCAGCCUCCUACGGGAGGCAGCAGUAGGGAAUCUUCCGCAAUGGGCGAAAGCCUGACGGAGCAACGCCGCGUGAGUGAUGAAGGUCUUCGGAUCGUAAAACUCUGUUAUUAGGGAAGAACAAAUGUGUAAGUAACUAUGCACGCCUGGACGGUACCUAAUCAGAAGGCCACGGCUAACUACGU